AAUUUAUAUAUAGUUGAACAAAACAGGUUUUUGGUCUUCUAAACAAUACAAGGAUAUUAGAAUACUUUAAGUGUGGGCUGUAUUUUCUUCUGAAUGAAAUGCUAUUGCAACUGAGUGACUAAGUUCCAUCUUGUAAACUAUAUUAUUCUACUUUGCAAAGGUUUAUCUUUUAAUUGUUGCGAAAUCAUCUGUCUCAUUCUUGGAGGAAUACAUCAUCUUGCAAAAUACGUAAAUUGUAUAGCUGCCGUAUGGAUUUACAUUUCACCCCCUUCCUGUAACAUCUCUGCCAGG
Molecule: long non-coding RNA, 291 nt
Organism: Canis lupus familiaris (dog)
Lineage: Eukaryota; Metazoa; Chordata; Mammalia; Carnivora; Canidae
Exons: 3
Source: RefSeq, a predicted model, not a curated record